This 406-nucleotide ribosomal RNA is filed under the name uncultured bacterium. RNAcentral's name for it is "partial 16S ribosomal RNA". It matches the Rfam family "Bacterial small subunit ribosomal RNA", at positions 29 to 526 of the family's 1533-position model. The record is from RNAcentral.
AUUGAACGCUGGCGGCAGGCCUAACACAUGCAAGUCGAACGAGUGGCGGACGGGUGAGUAAUGUCUGGGAAACUGCCCGAUGGAGGGGGAUAACUACUGGAAACGGUAGCUAAUACCGCAUACCAUCGGAUGUGCCCAGAUGGGAUUAGCUAGCAGGUGGGGUAACGGCGCACCUAGGCGACGAUCCCUAGCUGGGCUGAGAGGAUGACCAGCCACACUGGAACUGAGACACGGUCCCGUCUCCUACGGGAGUCAGCCGUGGUGAAUGUUGCACAAUGGGCGCAAGCCUGAUGCAGCCAUGCCGCGUGUAUGAAGAGGGCCUUGGGGUUGUAAAGGACUUUCAGCGGGGAGGCGUUGCCCGCAGAAGAAGGACCGGCUGACUCCGAGCCGGCAGCCGCGGUAAUUC